AUGCAACAAGGGCACCCGGUGGCAUAUCUCAGCAAAGCACUUUGUCCAAAGAACCAAGCCUUAAGUACCUAUGAAAAAGAAUGCCUGGCGAUCCUCAUGGCAGUCAACAAGUGGAGACCUUACCUACAACAGCAGCAUUUUGUGAUCCGCACCGAUCAACAAGCCCUGCUGCACUUGACUGAGCAACGAUUAAGUACUGGGAUCCAACACAAAGCUUUUGUUAAGCUCAUGGGACUUGACUACACUAUCCAAUAUAAAAAGGGAUUGCUAACGCGGCGGCUGAUGCUUUAUCACGCCGUGAGCAUGGGGCACCCUUGCUGGCGAUUUCGGCAGCGGUGCCCUCCUGGCUCGAGACCCUGGUGGAUGGGUACAAUGAGGAUCCUGAAUCAAAGCAGUUACUGCAACAACUGGCUGUCACCUCUCCGAAUGCUCAAGGUUACUCUCUCGAAGCGGGAGUGA
Molecule: ribosomal RNA, 459 nt
Filed under: Triticum aestivum (bread wheat)
Lineage: Eukaryota; Viridiplantae; Streptophyta; Magnoliopsida; Poales; Poaceae
Description: partial small subunit ribosomal RNA
Source: RNAcentral